Molecule: long non-coding RNA, 527 nt
Organism: Drosophila subpulchrella
Lineage: Eukaryota; Metazoa; Arthropoda; Insecta; Diptera; Drosophilidae
Exons: 3
Source: RefSeq, a predicted model, not a curated record
UUUAGCACUCAUCUUAAGUAAAAGUAAUAAUAAAAACUAAAGAAAUAAUAAAAAAAAAUCAUGUAAGUUCUAUGAGGCACUGACCUACACACACAUGCGCCUAACGUGCAGUGCUUUCAAUUUGAUUGCGCAAUUUGCAACGAGAAGAACAAAACAAGACUGCAAGUUCUAUUAUCUUGACCACGACUGUAAAUAUGUUGGGUUAGUGGGCCAGGGGGUGGUGAACUGGACCGGCUUCGCUAAUUAGAAGCUCAGAGCAUUCCGUCAAUAGACAACAACAGUGCGGACCAUCCACCCCCUUUUUUGCCACCUGCCACCCCCCUCCACUCCCACUUUGCGAUUCUCCACGACGUUUUCCGUCGACAGCCAAGGUUAAAACUAUAAAUAGAUAUGGAGAAAAAUCAACAACAACAGCAGCAAGCAGCCACCAACAAAAACAGCGAGUUGCAAAAUCUAUUUUUAGCCGUCAGCCGCAAGACGCCGACUGUAAAAAGAGUAGAUAAAAAACUUGAGCCGAAAACAAAACA